GCCGGGAUAGCUCAGUUGGGAGCGCGUUAGACUGAAGAUCUAAAGGUCCCUGGUUCAAUCCCGGGUCCCGGCG
This 73-nucleotide transfer RNA is filed under the name Dasypus novemcinctus (nine-banded armadillo). Its description in RNAcentral is "tRNA-Phe (GAA) (tRNA-Phe-GAA-5-1)". It matches the Rfam family "tRNA". From Rfam's summary of the family: Transfer RNA (tRNA) molecules are approximately 80 nucleotides in length. Their secondary structure includes four short double-helical elements and three loops (D, anti-codon, and T loops). The record is from RNAcentral. Lineage: Eukaryota; Metazoa; Chordata; Mammalia; Cingulata; Dasypodidae.